UACGGAGGAUCCGAGCGUUAUCCGGAUUUAUUGGGUUUAAAGGGUGCGCAGGCGGAAGAUUAAGUCGGUGGUGAAAUUUUGCAGCUCAACUGUAAAAGUGCCUUCGAAACUGGUUUCCUUGAGUGUAGAUGAAGUAGGCGGAAUUUGUGGUGUAGCGGUGAAAUGCUUAGAUAUCACGAGGAACUCCGAUUGCGCAGGCAGCUUACUAAACUACUACUGACGCUCAGGCACGAAGGCGUGGGGAUCAAACAGGAUUAGAUACCCCCGUAGUCCCU
This 275-nucleotide ribosomal RNA is filed under the name uncultured prokaryote. RNAcentral describes it as "partial 16S ribosomal RNA". It matches the Rfam family "Bacterial small subunit ribosomal RNA", at positions 524 to 798 of the family's 1533-position model. The record is from RNAcentral.